UGAUUCACAUGGAAAAGAGGACAUGUAUCAUACAUGUCCUCUAAUGUAGAACCGUUUAAGACGAUAGCACAUUUGAUUAUUAAAAA
Molecule: small RNA, 86 nt
Filed under: Alkalibacterium olivapovliticus
Lineage: Bacteria; Bacillati; Bacillota; Bacilli; Lactobacillales; Carnobacteriaceae
Description: RNA anti-toxin A
Rfam family: RNA anti-toxin A
Source: RNAcentral